GCAAGUCGAGGGGUAACAGGAGAAGCUUGCUUUUCGCUGACGACCGGCGCACGGGUGCGUAACGCGUAUGCAACCUACCUUAUACUGGGGAAUAGCCCGAAGAAAUUCGGAUUAAUGCCCCAUAGUAUUGUCGAUUCGCCUGUUUUGACAAUUAAAGAUUACGGUAUAAGAUGGGCAUGCGUCCCAUUAGCUAGAUGGUAAGGUAACGGCUUACCAUGGCAACGAUGGGUAGGGGGCCUGAGAGGGUGAUC
Molecule: ribosomal RNA, 251 nt
Filed under: uncultured bacterium
Lineage: Bacteria
Description: partial 16S ribosomal RNA
Rfam family: Bacterial small subunit ribosomal RNA
Source: RNAcentral